UACAGAGGGUGCGAGCGUUAAUCGGAAUUACUGGGCGUAAAGAGUGCGUAGGCGGUUCGUUAUGUCUGCUGUGAAAGCCCCGGGCUUAACCCGGGAAUGGCAGUGGAAACUGGCGGGCUUGAGUGUGGCAGAGGGGGGUGGAAUUCCGCGUGUAGCAGUGAAAUGCGUAGAGAUGCGGAGGAACACCGAUGGCGAAGGCAGCCCCCUGGGCUAACACUGACGCUGAGGCACGAAAGCGUGGGGAGCAAACAGG
This 253-nucleotide ribosomal RNA is filed under the name uncultured bacterium. RNAcentral's name for it is "partial 16S ribosomal RNA". It matches the Rfam family "Bacterial small subunit ribosomal RNA", at positions 524 to 776 of the family's 1533-position model. The record is from RNAcentral.